GACUGAGUGGCGGACGGGUGAGUAACGCGUGAGUAACCUGCCCUUCAGAGGGGGAUAGCGUUUGGAAACGAACGGUAAUACCGCAUAAUGUAUUUUGACCGCAUGAUCGAAAUACCAAAGAUUUAUCGCUGAAGGAUGGACUCGCGUCUGAUUAGGUAGUUGGUGGGGUAACGGCCUACCAAGCCGACGAUCAGUAGCCGGACUGAGAGGUUGAACGGCCACAUUGGGACUGAGAUACGGCCCAGACUCC
This 250-nucleotide ribosomal RNA is filed under the name uncultured bacterium. RNAcentral's name for it is "partial 16S ribosomal RNA". It matches the Rfam family "Bacterial small subunit ribosomal RNA", at positions 89 to 339 of the family's 1533-position model. The record is from RNAcentral.